CGCCUUUGGUAAAAUAUCAAAAGGUCCUGCCUGCCCGGUGAUUAUAAAAAUUAAACGGCUGCGGUACUCUGACCGUGCAAAGGUAGCAUAAUCAUUAGCCUGUUAAUUUCAGGCUGGAAUCAAUGGCAAGACGAAGAAAAAGCUGUCUCUUUCUAUUAUUUUAGAAUUUUUCUUUUUGGUGAAGAGACCAAAAUAAAUAAGUGGGACGAGAAGACCCUAUUGAGCUUUAGUUAGUUAAAAGAAAAAAGUUUUUUUAAAUAACUUUGGUUGGGGCAACUGUUUUUAGAAUUAAACAUUAAUAAAAUAAAAAUGAAUUAAAUCUUUAAUAUAUAAAACCCAGAAAUUUUUAUCUGCACUUAAAAAAAGUUACCUUAGGGAUAACAGCGUAAUUCUUUUUGAGAGUACAUAUUGACAAAAGAGUUUGCGACCUCGAUGUUGGAUCAAGAUUUCCUGGAGGUGUAGUGGUUUCCAAGGGUUGGUUUGUUCAACCAUGAAAAUCUU
RNAcentral lists this ribosomal RNA (501 nucleotides) under Gorgonocephalus chilensis. RNAcentral describes it as "partial 16S ribosomal RNA". It matches the Rfam family "Bacterial large subunit ribosomal RNA", at positions 1817 to 2597 of the family's 2925-position model. The record is from RNAcentral. Lineage: Eukaryota; Metazoa; Echinodermata; Ophiuroidea; Euryalida; Gorgonocephalidae.